Non-coding RNA from Leptonychotes weddellii (Weddell seal), 1213 nucleotides. NCBI's taxonomy places the organism in Eukaryota, Metazoa, Chordata, Mammalia, Carnivora, Phocidae. The record is from RefSeq and is a predicted model, not a curated record.
UCCAGUACCAUAACCAAAUGCCACAUGUGGCUGUGGUUAGUGUGACUGGGGAACAGAUUUUUAAUGUGAAACUAUUUAGCCACAUGUGGCUAACGACACCAUAUUGGGCAGCACAGAUUGAACUCAUUUUGUGUUGUAAGAGCAUCUGCUACUUUUCACUCUUCUCCUUGGUUGAAUUUGCUCACUUGCACGCUGCUCCCCGUCUCCAUCCCUGGAUUUUUACCAAAAUUUGGCCUUUUAGAUGAGUUAGGGACAGCAGGCACACUUUGCCCACUUAAUGUUUUAUUUACAAACAGUGUUAGUGCACUCGGGGACCUUACCGCGUCCCUGUUAUCUGAAGACUAACCCAGUUCAUUCUCCCCACCUCCUUAUCUUCUUAUCUGUGAUGUCUUCAUUACUAAAUAAUGCCAUCCUUCUUAGACCACGUUAUUUCAUUACCCUUUGGUUGGUUGGUUUUCUUUCUACUAUUAAGAGUUUUGGCUUUCCGGUCUAAUAUCUGAUACUAACGUGUAUUCUGUUUUGCAGGGAUGGUGAGAGAAGGUCAGCUAAAUGGCUCCUCGGCGGCACACAGUGAAAUAAGAGACUGUAGAACAUGAGAGGGGGCUGGAGAGAUCAUCAGCAUUAGACCAAGGUGUCAGGCCCGACUGUGGAGAGUAUUUAACAAGUAAACUUAUUAAGAACCCAACACUGCUCCGUGGAAGUACCAAAACCCAGAGGUUGAAGGUUGGGGGUAGAGUUGGGAGUAGGGAGGUGUUCCAGCUCAGUCCUUCAUGCCCACUGGUUCUUGAUCUUCUGUGGCCUCUUCCAGUUCACGAAUCCCCAAGUGACAACGGGGCCCAGUGCUGCCCCCACCCCUGCGCUGGACAUGCCUGUGUCCACACACCAGAUCAGUGCGACACCUUCACUGACUGUGGCCCCAGCCCUGCAUGAAGGACUUGGGAGCUAGACGCCGUGGGGUCACCGGGGCCCUUGUUGCAGUUUUGUACUCUAUACCUGGUUUUUCAAUUAAGCUUAAUGGCUUUUUUAAAACAUGACUUGAAGCUCUAGUUUUCUAGACCUUUUACAGUGUACAGUAUUUUACAUAACUGAGCUGUAUUAAAAGCUUGUUCAUUUACUUCCCAGGGCCCUGGCUCUACUUUUAGAGUCCCUUUAGAAAACCUGCAAAGGCACUAAAUGAGCCUAGUUUUUGUAACUUAAAAGUUGUGUUCUUUCA